Long non-coding RNA from Ornithodoros turicata, 619 nucleotides. RefSeq lists it as uncharacterized. The transcript has 3 exons. The record is from RefSeq and is a predicted model, not a curated record. Lineage: Eukaryota; Metazoa; Arthropoda; Arachnida; Ixodida; Argasidae.
UCGCACGCGACGAUUUCUUCUGGUCUCAGUUUACUGUCGUCUCAGUCUUCUGGAAUCAGUCUUAGGUUACUAUAGCCAUGAAGAAUAGAAGUUGAUUAAAUGGCACCCGUAGCUGUUCCAGUGACUCAGUUGUGGCCUGGCUUCCACAUUAAACACGACCCGGACGUGAUGUUCGUGCUCUUCAGGAGACGAGCUGGCCACAAGCAAGUCGUCAAUGUAUGCGAAGACGAAGGGGAGGCCCCUGAUGACGCUGUCUAUAAGACGUUGAAACGUUUCGGCCGCGUUGCGGAGACCAAAUGGCAUCCGCGGAAAUUCGUACAGCCCACAUGGAGCAUUCGCCACUCCUCAAUGAGUGGGUUUUCAGAUUCUGCAGUAUCCCGGACCCAAGGAAAGCGGAGAAGGUUUCUGUCCGCACGACGGAUGACCACUUGCAGGUAGGAAUUCAGAGAUGGCUGCUCCGGGAGACGGGAUGACUCGUCGCAAACCGCGCGGAGCUUGGUUGUAACGGCUUCUUUCCGAAUAACGGCGUGGUGGGGCAUAUAGUAGACAUGCUAGUGUUCAUCGACGUUGUUCACCACCCUCUGAGUAAAUACUGAAAAAUACUCGUAAAUACUGCGUA